AGACAUGUGGGCAAUCUAUUACUUCUGUAACUACACUCAUUGCCUGGGUCAACUCAGCUGAAUGGCAGGUGGAUGUCACUUUUCCUCCACUGUUCCAUUCAUGUCCCUUCUGAAGCUGUGUACUCAGCUUUCCCAGUGGAGGAGACCCAUUCUUUGGUCAAAUAUUUAUAGGUGGCUGCGUUCCCUUGCCAGAGCUUCCAAACAAACCUCAAGGUCUAUUUGUAGGAUAAGACAGAGUAAUGAAGCCUCCACUACUCCAGACACAUUAAAAUGUGCUGCAUAGGGCAGGCUGCCCAUCUUU
This 301-nucleotide small nuclear RNA is filed under the name Heterocephalus glaber (naked mole-rat). Its description in RNAcentral is "7SK RNA". It matches the Rfam family "7SK RNA". Rfam says of the family: 7SK was discovered as an abundant small nuclear RNA in the mid-70s but a possible function has only recently been suggested. Two independent studies have found that 7SK RNA binds the CDK9/cyclin T complex (known as elongation factor P-TEFb). P-TEFb activates transcription by phosphorylating the C-terminal domain of RNA polymerase II. The record is from Rfam by way of RNAcentral. Lineage: Eukaryota; Metazoa; Chordata; Mammalia; Rodentia; Bathyergidae.